CCGGCGAAGAAGACACUCUCCUCAACCACCAUUAGCGCCCUGGACGACGACACCCUGCGCGAGAUCCUCAUCCGCCUACCCUCCCUCCCUAGCCUGGUACGCGCCGCUCUCAGCUGCCGCACCUUCCUCGACGCCGUCCGCUCAUCCCCAGCCUUCCGCCGUCGCUUCCGUGCGCUCCACCCACCCCCACUCUUAGGUCUCUUUCUCAGCAUGGAAGACACCGUCGUCCCUACCUUCGUGCCCCUCCGCUGCCGCUCCAACCCGGACCUCGCGGCCGCCGUCCGCGGCGCAGAUUUCCUCCUUGGCCGCCUGCCAGUCCCGGAAGAAGACGACGAGGAUGCCAUCGUCUACGAGUGGUCAAUCUGUGACUGCCACGACGGAUUUGUUCUUCUUGGCAGCUGGAGCACCCAGCAGUUGGCUGUCUACAACCCGCUCACGCGGACCCUGGAUCUCUUUCCCCUGCCGCCUGAUGAGGACCGCGAGGGCUUCAAUGUCGACUUCCACAUCCUCGCCUCAGAACAAGACUAUCGGUUGUUCCGCGUUGUGUGCGUCCGGCACAAUGAACGUGGCGCACGCGCCGUCGUCUUAUCAUCGAACACCAGGAAGUGGCAGAUGUUCCCAUGAGAAGAGAUCAACGGGCCCUGGCGUCAGAGUGGUAAGGUGGUGAAUGGCUGCAUCUAUUGGACCAUCGGAGUGCCGAAGGACGCCCGUGUGUUAAACACCACUACAACGCGAUUCUUCCGAAUGGAUAUGCCGCUGCGCAGGCGAGGGAGUGAAACACUGACCGCUGGUGAGACCAAGGAUGGGAGGCUCUGCAUGGUCUGCGUCGCUAUGGAACCAUCAAGAUUCGAAUCCGCGCUCGAUGUUUGGACCCGAAGUGCCGAUGACAAUGGUGUCGACAGGUGGAUGCUGGACAAGACACUUCUGUCGCGGGAGAUAUAUGAGAUCGUUUGGUGUGAAUUCGACAAGGAUAAUGUUAAGGUUCAACUGAGUGUUAAUUCGAUUAUUGAUGGAUUUGUGUACUUGCGUGCUUGCUGCGGGACGUGGCAGCAUCGUCAUUCGACUCACUGGCUCCUAUCCUUCUGCAUGGAAACAACGGUGCUGAACAACCUUGGUCGCAUCCUUAAUGGUGCUUCCUAUCCCUACAUUAUGCCAUGGCCUCAUUCGUUGGUACACAGCAAGGUGACUCAAGGUUGUUGUUUGACUUGUAGGAUGAAAUUUAAUUACAAAAAACUUGAUCUGUUUAAGUUAUGA
This 1254-nucleotide ribosomal RNA is filed under the name Triticum aestivum (bread wheat). RNAcentral describes it as "partial small subunit ribosomal RNA". Lineage: Eukaryota; Viridiplantae; Streptophyta; Magnoliopsida; Poales; Poaceae. The record is from RNAcentral.